CUGUACAGUUCAGAGUUUGAUCCUGGCUCAGAGCGAACGCUGGCGGCAGGCUUAACACAUGCAAGUCGAGCGCCCCGCAAGGGGAGCGGCAGACGGGUGAGUAACGCGUGGGAAUCUACCCAUCUCUACGGAAUAACUCAGGGAAACUUGUGCUAAUACCGUAUACGCCCUUUGGGGGAAAGAUUUAUCGGAGAUGGAUGAGCCCGCGUUGGAUUAGCUAGUUGGUGGGGUAAUGGCCUACCAAGGCGACGAUCCAUAGCUGGUCUGAGAGGAUGAUCAGCCACACUGGGACUGAGACACGGCCCAG
RNAcentral lists this ribosomal RNA (307 nucleotides) under uncultured bacterium. RNAcentral's name for it is "partial 16S ribosomal RNA". It matches the Rfam family "Bacterial small subunit ribosomal RNA", at positions 1 to 334 of the family's 1533-position model. The record is from RNAcentral.